AUUGAACGCUGGCGGCAGGCCUAACACAUGCAAGUCGAACGGUAACAGGAAGAAGCUUGCUUCUUUGCUGACGAGUGGCGGACGGGUGAGUAAUGUCUGGGAAACUGCCUGAUGGAGGGGGAUAACUACUGGAAACGGUAGCUAAUACCGCAUAACGUCGCAAGACCAAAGAGGGGGACCUUCGGGCCUCUUGCCAUCGGAUGUGCCCAGAUGGGAUUAGCUAGUAGGUGGGGUAACGGCUCACCUAGGCGACGAUCCCUAGCUGGGCUGAGAGGGUGACCAGCCACACUGGAACUGAGACACGGUCCAGACUCCUACGGGAGGCAGCAGUGGGGAAUAUUGCACAAUGGGCGCAAGCCUGAUGCAGCCAUGCCGCGUGUAUGAAGAAGGCCUUCGGAUUGUAAAGUACUUUCAGCGGGGAGGAAGGGAGUAAAGUUAAUACCUUUGCUCAUUGACGUUACCCUCAGAAGAAGCCCCGGCUAACUCCGUG
Molecule: ribosomal RNA, 490 nt
Filed under: uncultured bacterium
Lineage: Bacteria
Description: partial 16S ribosomal RNA
Rfam family: Bacterial small subunit ribosomal RNA
Source: RNAcentral